UCGCCACCUUAACGUGGUGGAGGAGUUUGAGUGGCUCAGUGAUCCUGUGAUCUGUGUUGUCUGUGGCACAAGCACCUUGUGCGAUGGACAACAGGUCUCAGGGGAGAGUCGAGACUAAGAGCGAUUCAAAAACACUAAUGUUUAAUCAAACAAUAAUACAAUGGCUUUACAGCCUAAUAUCUAUAUAGUGUUAAAAAAAACGCCAGCCACAAGACAGCCUAAAAGGUUGUUAAAUUACUUUACUUACUUUACUUAAUUACUUAAGCUAUCAACUAUUAUUUAUUAUUUGGCCAAUGUUUUGAUAACCGACCGCUGCCAGUUCAGUGUUUCCCAUCAUUAUAAACAGGGGCGCGCCCCCCAUGACGUAGUGAACCUGGGGGAGACACUGCAGUCUACCUAAUCGAUGCGAACAACGUGUGUGUGACUCGUGUCACUGGUAAAUGUGUUGUGGUUUUAUCUGUAUAAGUUAGAUGCACGUGUUGUUUUGGUGUCGUGUCUCUGAAUGUCGCCAUGUUUCCAUCAUCCCAACGGCAGGUCACGUGAUCUGCAGGCGCCUUCUGAUCACAUUGUAAUGGACUGACGUGUUGUGUGAGCGAGGUUACGCAUUAAGAGUUUGUCCUUAAUGGACUUUCUUACAUUACUUUUACUUUUAUACUUUAAGUAGUUUUGAAACCAGUACUUUUAUACUUUUACUUAAGUAAAAAGCUUGAGUUGGUACUUAAACUUCUACAGGAGUCUUUUUAAACCCUAGUAUAUGUACUUCUAUUGAGUAAUGAAUGUGAAUACUUUUGACACCUCUGAUUCUGAUAAACUAAAACCAUCAAACAUUCAACAAAUGGCUUGCAGGAUUUGGUAUCUCUCUUUAUGAGAUUCAUUGUCCAAGGCCAGUUCAACCUCAUAUGUUUUCAUACCUGACUGAAAACUGGUUCAAGCUAACCCUAACCCAUAUAUUAACAAUAAUGAAUAUAUAACAAUGAAUAAUAAAACAACCACAGGGCAAUAUUAUUUUUCUGUUUCAUAAAGAAAUGUAUUUUUACAUCCUGAAAUACAUAAAUGAAAUGAACUGUUUGAUUCAAAGCUAAGGGCAUUUUAUGUUGAUUUUGGUGGUCCAUGUGGACACAAGUUGCAGAACGUUAGAUCCAGAAUGGAUCACUGUUGUCUUCAAAUACCUUUUCUAACCUUCCAAAGACAACUAAAAGCAACUCUGAAAUGACGACAUGCACUCACGGUGUCCUCAGCAUGGCUGCUCAACAGCCCCUAUUAGAUCAACAGGAAACAAUUUAAUUGUCCCCUGUUCUUUGUUUUCGUGCAGUGAGGAUGUUUGUCCCGGCGGGGGCCUCCAUCCAUGAAUUGGUUAUCUGUGUUCAGCAGGGGACGGACGUCGGUCCUGAUCAGGCUGGUUAUCAUGGUCGCCUGACAGUUUGGGAGGAAGACCUCCGACUGCUGUCUGCCCGAAGCUGAUUGACAGCUGCCUCAGAGGAGGUUGUGACACAUGUGUGACAGGAAGAGCGUGUGACGUACAGAAAGCACAUUUGGACCCUCCACAUACUAUUUUACGGGCAACACAGACAUUUUGGAAUUACGUGUUGAACAACUAGAUUGGCCUGCAUGCACAAACCUCCACCAAUACUGAGAGCCCCUUUCACCCGACAGUCAAUCAGUGACCCGUCUCGCUAACGUGGCGUUCUGACGUGGCUCUUGUGGCUGAAUGGGUACAAAUCUCUGCAGCCAGAUUCCCAGGAGAGUGGAGGCCUUAAAUGUUUACGUGUUGACGUACUUCGGGCAUAUAGUUUAGCAUAAGACGGAUCUUAUGCGAUGUGUUAUUAGUUCAGUGGGAAAAUAAACGACGAAAGAGCAAAAUGCAAAUCAGAUGAGACUUGGUGGAUAUUAAUGAUACAUUCUAUUUCAUGCAUAUAAAUCAAAUCAUAACAGGAGUUAUCUCAAGACCGUUCAGGUCCAGACAACUUGCUGUAGUUGAGGGGAUUAAUACCGCUGCCAUACGUCGAAACUUUUGUCUGGCAAGAAGAAAAGAUUUAUAAAUAUCCAUCUUUAUCUAGUAUCCAUCAUCUGUCUAUUUAAUCUGUCCAUCUCUUUAUCUGUCUCUCUAUAUAAAUAUAUCUAUCUGUCAUCAUCAAAGUCUGCAGGCCUGAAUCUCCUCAUCCGUCUUCUCUC
This is a long non-coding RNA of Gasterosteus aculeatus aculeatus (three-spined stickleback), 2172 nucleotides long. Lineage: Eukaryota; Metazoa; Chordata; Actinopteri; Perciformes; Gasterosteidae. The record is from Ensembl.